UACGGGGGGAGCAAGCGUUGUUCGGAUUUACUGGGCGUAAAGCGUGUGCAGGCGGUUGUGCAAGACAGAUGUGAAAUCCCCGGGCUUAACCUGGGAAUUGCAUUUGUGACUGUACGGCUAGAGUGUGUCAGAGGGGGGGUAGAAUUCCACGUGUAGCAGUGAAAUGCGUAGAGAUGUGGAGGAACACCGAUGGCGAAGGCAAUCCCCUGGACCUGUACUGACGC
RNAcentral lists this ribosomal RNA (224 nucleotides) under uncultured bacterium. Its description in RNAcentral is "partial 16S ribosomal RNA". It matches the Rfam family "Bacterial small subunit ribosomal RNA", at positions 524 to 746 of the family's 1533-position model. The record is from RNAcentral.